UAGAGGAAGUAAAAGUCGUAACAAGGUCUCCGUUGGUGAACCAGCGGAGGGAUCAUUACUGAGUUUACGCUCUAUAACCCUUUGUGAACAUACCUAUAACUGUUGCUUCGGCGGGUAGGGUCUCCGCGACCCUCCCGGCCUCCCGCCCCCGGGCGGGUCGGCGCCCGCCGGAGGAUAACCAAACUCUGAUUUAACGACGUUUCUUCUGAGUGGUACAAGCAAAUAAUCAAAACUUUUAACAACGGAUCUCUUGGUUCUGGCAUCGAUGAAGAACGCAGCGAAAUGCGAUAAGUAAUGUGAAUUGCAGAAUUCAGUGAAUCAUCGAAUCUUUGAACGCACAUUGCGCCCGCCAGCAUUCUGGCGGGCAUGCCUGUUCGAGCGUCAUUUCAACCCUCAAGCUCUGCUUGGUGUUGGGGCCCUACAGCUGAUGUAGGCCCUCAAAGGUAGUGGCGGACCCUCCCGGAGCCUCCUUUGCGUAGUAACUUUACGUCUCGCACUGGGAUCCGGAGGGACUCUUGCCGUAAAACCCCCCAAUUUUCCAAAGGUUGACCUCGGAUCAGGUAGGAAUACCCGCUGAACUUAAGCAUAUCAAUA
Molecule: ribosomal RNA, 594 nt
Filed under: Colletotrichum nupharicola
Lineage: Eukaryota; Fungi; Ascomycota; Sordariomycetes; Glomerellales; Glomerellaceae
Description: eukaryotic LSU rRNA
Rfam family: 5.8S ribosomal RNA (bases 231-384)
Source: RNAcentral